AGCCACAGUAGCGGUCCAUCUCUUCAUUAUCCUUAUACCACGUCACCUCUGGCUGCGGGUAACCUGUCACUAUGCACGUGAAUUUAGCAUCAGAGUCCUCGGACACAGAACGAGAUUUGAUAGUGGUUUCAAAUAGUGGCUGGGUUUCCUCCGUCAGCUGGGAAAUGAUUGCGCAGAAGGUGCUCCUUCCUAAACUGGAGAGAGAGAAUCUGCUGCUUGAUAAGCUGUUCUGGGGUCGGAUGCUAAGCAGAUAGCUGCGCCGGUCGGGCCGCGAGGCCCAGGCCGCGCUUUCCGCCUCCUCCGCCCCCUCCACGCUGCCCCUCCGCUGAGGCGGCGACGUCCGCCCGUUGCCCGCGUACGAGUCGCUGAGGGCCCGGCGCGGCGAGCCCAUGGUGGCGGCCGGGCUGCGGCUGCCCCUGCCCGCCGCGCCGCUGCCGGCCCUGUCAAUCACCUCCG
Molecule: long non-coding RNA, 456 nt
Filed under: Gallus gallus (chicken)
Lineage: Eukaryota; Metazoa; Chordata; Aves; Galliformes; Phasianidae
Source: RNAcentral